This 73-nucleotide transfer RNA is filed under the name Camelus bactrianus (Bactrian camel). It matches the Rfam family "tRNA". Rfam says of the family: Transfer RNA (tRNA) molecules are approximately 80 nucleotides in length. Their secondary structure includes four short double-helical elements and three loops (D, anti-codon, and T loops). The record is from Rfam by way of RNAcentral. Lineage: Eukaryota; Metazoa; Chordata; Mammalia; Artiodactyla; Camelidae. RNAcentral also lists the same sequence under 2 other names.
GACGGUAUAGCUCAGUGGUAGGGUGUUCACUUAGCAUGCAAGAGGUCUUGGGUUCAAUUCCCCAGUACCACCA